This 427-nucleotide ribosomal RNA is filed under the name uncultured prokaryote. RNAcentral describes it as "bacterial SSU rRNA". It matches the Rfam family "Bacterial small subunit ribosomal RNA", at positions 355 to 774 of the family's 1533-position model. The record is from RNAcentral.
UAGGGAAUCUUGGACAAUGGGCGCAAGCCUGAUCCAGCCAUGCCGCGUGAGUGAGGAAGGUCUUCGGACUGUAAAGCUCUUUUCUCGGGAAAGAACGGCCUCCGGAGGCAAUGCCGGGGGUGUGACGGUACCCGAGGAAUAAGCAACGGCUAACUCCGUGCCAGCAGCCGCGGUAAUACGGAGGUUGCAAGCGUUGUUCGGAAUUACUGGGCGUAAAGGGCGUGCAGGCGGGAGAGCAAGUCUGAUGUGAAAGCCCGGGGCUUAACCCCGGAAGGGCAUUGGAAACUGCUUUUCUUGAGUUCUGGAGAGGAAGGGAGAAUUCCCGGUGUAGUGGUAAAAUACGUAGAGAUCGGGAGGAACACCAGCGGCGCAGGCGGCUCACUAGACAGUUUCUGACGCUAAGAUACGAAAGCGUGGGGAGCAAACA